RNAcentral lists this ribosomal RNA (491 nucleotides) under Klebsiella pneumoniae. RNAcentral describes it as "bacterial SSU rRNA". It matches the Rfam family "Bacterial small subunit ribosomal RNA", at positions 11 to 495 of the family's 1533-position model. The record is from RNAcentral. Lineage: Bacteria; Pseudomonadati; Pseudomonadota; Gammaproteobacteria; Enterobacterales; Enterobacteriaceae.
GUUUGAUCAUGCUCAGAUUGAACGCUGGCGGCAGGCCUAACACAUGCAAGUCGAGCGGUAGCACAGAGAGCUUGCUCUCGGGUGACGAGCGGCGGACGGGUGAGUAAUGUCUGGGAAACUGCCUGAUGGAGGGGGAUAACUACUGGAAACGGUAGCUAAUACCGCAUAAUGUCGCAAGACCAAAGUGGGGGACCUUCGGGCCUCAUGCCAUCAGAUGUGCCCAGAUGGGAUUAGCUAGUAGGUGGGGUAACGGCUCACCUAGGCGACGAUCCCUAGCUGGUCUGAGAGGAUGACCAGCCACACUGGAACUGAGACACGGUCCAGACUCCUACGGGAGGCAGCAGUGGGGAAUAUUGCACAAUGGGCGCAAGCCUGAUGCAGCCAUGCCGCGUGUGUGAAGAAGGCCUUCGGGUUGUAAAGCACUUUCAGCGGGGAGGAAGGCGGUAAGGUUAAUAACCUCAUCGAUGGACGUACCCGCAGAAGAAGCACCG